This 253-nucleotide ribosomal RNA is filed under the name uncultured bacterium. RNAcentral's name for it is "partial 16S ribosomal RNA". It matches the Rfam family "Bacterial small subunit ribosomal RNA", at positions 524 to 776 of the family's 1533-position model. The record is from RNAcentral.
UACGUAGGGCGCAAGCGUUGUCCGGAAUUAUUGGGCGUAAAGAGCUCUUAGGCGGUCUGUCACGUCGGAUGUGAAAGCCCGGGGCUUAACCCCGGGUCUGCAUUCGAUACGGGCAGACUAGAGUGUGGUAGGGGAGAUCGGAAUUCCUGGUGUAGCGGUGAAAUGCGCAGAUAUCAGGAGGAACACCGGUGGCGAAGGCGGAUCUCUGGGCCAUUACUGACGCUGAGGAGCGAAAGCGUGGGGAGCGAACAGG